GACGAACGCGGGCGGCGUGCUUAACACAUGCAAGUCGAACGGAAAGGCCCUGCUUUUGUGGGGUGCUCGAAUGGCGAACGGGUGAGUAACACGUGAGUAACCUGCCCUUGACUUUGGGAUAACUUCACGAAACUGGGGCGAAUACCGGAUAGGAGCUCCUGCUGCGUGGGGGGGGGUGGAAAGUUUCGGCGGUUGGGGAUGGACUCGCGGCUUAUCAGCUUGUUGGUGGGGUAGUGGCUUACCAAGGCUUUGACGGGUAGCCGGCCUGAGAGGGUGACCGGCCACAUUGGGACUGAGGUACGGCCCAGACUCCUACGGGAGGCAGCAGUGGGGAAUAUUGAACAAUGGGCGGAAGCCUGAUGCAGCAACGCCGCGUGCGGGAUGACGGCCUUCGGGUUGUAACCCGCUUUCGCCUGUGACGAAGCGUGAGUGACGGUAAUGGGUAAAGAAGCACCGGCUAACUACGUG
Molecule: ribosomal RNA, 468 nt
Filed under: uncultured bacterium
Lineage: Bacteria
Description: partial 16S ribosomal RNA
Rfam family: Bacterial small subunit ribosomal RNA
Source: RNAcentral